AAUCAACGCUGGCGGCGUGCCUCAGACAUGCAAGUCGAACGAUUAAAGCUCUCUUCGGAGAGUGUAUAGAGUGGCGCACGGGUGAGUAACACGUAAGUAAUCUACCUUUGAGUGGGGAAUAACGUCCGGAAACGGACGCUAAUACCGCAUAAUGCAGCGGCAUCGCAAGAUGACAGUUGUUAAAGAUUUAUCGCUUGAAGAGGAGCUUGCGGCAGAUAGCUAGUUGGUAAGGUAAUGGCUUACCAAGGCUACGAUCUGUAACCGGUCUAAGAGGACGGUCGGUCACACUGACACUGAAUAACGGGUCAGACUCCUACGGGAGGCAGCAGUCGGGAAUUUUGGGCAAUGGGCGAAAGCCUGACCCAGCAACGCCGCGUGAAGGAUGAAGUAUUUCGGUAUGU
This 401-nucleotide ribosomal RNA is filed under the name uncultured bacterium. RNAcentral's name for it is "bacterial SSU rRNA". It matches the Rfam family "Bacterial small subunit ribosomal RNA", at positions 32 to 426 of the family's 1533-position model. The record is from RNAcentral.